CCCGUAACGAGCGCAACCCUUGUCCUUAGUUACCAGCACGUUAUGGUGGGCACUCUAAGGAGACUGCCGGUGACAAACCGGAGGAAGGUGGGGAUGACGUCAAGUCAUCAUGGCCCUUACGGCCUGGGCUACACACGUGCUACAAUGGUCGGUACAGAGGGUUGCCAAGCCGCGAGGUGGAGCUAAUCUCACAAAACCGAUCGUAGUCCGGAUCGCAGUCUGCAACUCGACUGCGUGAAGUCGGAAUCGCUAGUAAUCGCAAAUCAGAAUGUUGCGGUGAAUACGUU
This 287-nucleotide ribosomal RNA is filed under the name Pseudomonas mosselii. Its description in RNAcentral is "partial 16S ribosomal RNA". It matches the Rfam family "Bacterial small subunit ribosomal RNA", at positions 1086 to 1372 of the family's 1533-position model. Lineage: Bacteria; Pseudomonadati; Pseudomonadota; Gammaproteobacteria; Pseudomonadales; Pseudomonadaceae. The record is from RNAcentral.